Long non-coding RNA from Linepithema humile (Argentine ant), 783 nucleotides. RefSeq lists it as uncharacterized. The record is from RefSeq and is a predicted model, not a curated record. NCBI's taxonomy places the organism in Eukaryota, Metazoa, Arthropoda, Insecta, Hymenoptera, Formicidae.
GACCGCGAAUGUACGAGCGAGGUCGUUCGACAAAUAACCGAUGAUAUCUGACUAGACUCGGCUCGAUUUAACGCCGAUGCUAUUUGAGACGGAAUUAAAUAUUUAAUGGUAUGUCGAACUUGUCCGAUUUACAUCGCGCACGUAUAUAUUUUCCGCGUGCAGCGCUGGGCAUCGGGCGCGCAGCAAAGUCCAGCUGAUUAAAUCGGCGGGCUUGAAAUUUAGCGCGGAGUAUCCAAGGCCUCAUCUAAGGUCGCAUUUAUAACGAACGUUCAUGAUCGAAUGAUCGUCAGGCCGGAAGUAAUUAACGCGCGUUCCUAAUAACGCGCGUUGCAGUAUCACGCGAUGCGUGUGGACGAUAUCGUGUAAAUUGGAAUAGUCAAACAGUUGUUGGAAUCCGUAGCAGCGAGAAGAAAACGAUACGUCAUUGGUUUUUAAAUUAAUACAAAAUUUAUCGCGAGGAAUUUCUAUUGCAUUGGAAUAGUCAAACAGUUGUUGGAAUCCGUAGCAGCGAGAAGAAAACGAUAUUAUCUCUGUAAGGUAGACUGGAACUAGGACUGGAACUAAGAUAGUGAAACUUAAAGGAAGUGAAAUUUACAUAUAUUAUUGUUGUCCGUCAACUUGAUUACAAAUUAUUCACGAUAUUAUCAUAUAAUUUGUAAUAUUAUCGAGAGAAUUAGCAUUAUCUCAAAGUCAAUGAACAAUAAGAAAAAUAGGUGUUCCUGAAAUUGUCCAAGUUUGACUCAUCUCGGUGUAUUUUAAAUAUAAUUUUUUUCAUUAAUGCUU